Molecule: ribosomal RNA, 453 nt
Filed under: Melomys cervinipes (faun-footed melomys)
Lineage: Eukaryota; Metazoa; Chordata; Mammalia; Rodentia; Muridae
Description: partial 16S ribosomal RNA
Rfam family: Bacterial large subunit ribosomal RNA
Source: RNAcentral
CGGCCGCGGUAUCCUGACCGUGCAAAGGUAGCAUAAUCACUUGUUCCUUAAUUAGGGACUAGCAUGAAUGGCCAAACGAGGAUUCAACUGUCUCUUAUUUUUAAUCAGUGAAAUUGACCUUUCAGUGAAGAGGCUGAAAUACUAAAAUAAGACGAGAAGACCCUAUGGAGCUUAAAUUAAAAGUUUAAUUUUACUUCCAUCAGCCUAAUGGCAUAACACAAAAAUUUUAAACUCUAAAUUUCGGUUGGGGUGACCUCGGAGAACAAAAAAUCCUCCGAAUGAUUUUAACAUAGACCAACAAGUCAAAGUAACCUAAAAAUCUUAUUGACCCAAAAAUUUUUUUGAUCAACGGACCAAGUUACCCUAGGGAUAACAGCGCAAUCCUAUUUUAGAGUCCAUAUCGACAAUAGGGUUUACGACCUCGAUGUUGGAUCAGGACAUCCCAAUGGCGCA